This 274-nucleotide ribosomal RNA is filed under the name uncultured bacterium. Its description in RNAcentral is "partial 16S ribosomal RNA". It matches the Rfam family "Bacterial small subunit ribosomal RNA", at positions 523 to 796 of the family's 1533-position model. The record is from RNAcentral.
AUACGAAGGGGGCUAGCGUUGUUCGGAAUUACAGGGCGUAAAGCGCACGUAGGCGGAUAUUUAAGUCAGGGGUGAAAUCCCAGAGCUCAACUCUGGAACUGCCUUUGAUACUGGGUAUCUUGAGUAUGGAAGAGGUAAGUGGAAUUCCGAGUGUAGAGGUGAAAUUCGUAGAUAUUCGGAGGAACACCAGUGGCGAAGGCGGCUUACUGGUCCAUUACUGACGCUGAGGUGCGAAAGCGUGGGGAGCAAACAGGAUUAGAUACCCUAGUAGUCC